ACACUUACCUGGCAGGGGAGAUACCAUGAUCACAAAGGUGGUUUUCCCAGGGCGAGGCUUAUCCAUUGCACUCCGGAUGUGCUGACCCCUGCGAUUUCCCCAAAUGUGGGAAACUUGACUGCAUAAUUUGUGGUAGUGGGGGACUGCGUUCGCGCUCUCCCCUU
Molecule: small nuclear RNA, 164 nt
Filed under: Castor canadensis (American beaver)
Lineage: Eukaryota; Metazoa; Chordata; Mammalia; Rodentia; Castoridae
Description: U1 spliceosomal RNA (ENSCCNG00000009667.1)
Rfam family: U1 spliceosomal RNA
About the family: U1 is a small nuclear RNA (snRNA) component of the spliceosome (involved in pre-mRNA splicing). Its 5' end forms complementary base pairs with the 5' splice junction, thus defining the 5' donor site of an intron. There are significant differences in sequence and secondary structure between metazoan and yeast U1 snRNAs, the latter being much longer (568 nucleotides as compared to 164 nucleotides in human).
Source: Rfam by way of RNAcentral